This is a long non-coding RNA of Oncorhynchus tshawytscha (Chinook salmon), 363 nucleotides long. The record is from Ensembl. Lineage: Eukaryota; Metazoa; Chordata; Actinopteri; Salmoniformes; Salmonidae.
GCUUUGGGGCGGCAGGUAGCCUAGUGGUUAGAGUGUAGGGGCGGCAGGUAGCCUAGUGGUUAGAGUGUAGGGGCGGCAGGGUAGCCUAGUGGUUAGAGUGUAGGGGCGGCAGGUAGCCUAGUAGUUAGAGUGUAGGGGCGGCAGGUAGCCUAGUGGUUAGAGUGGAGGGGCGGCAGGUAGCCUAGUGGUUAGAGUGUAGAGGCGGCAGGUAGCCUAGUGGUUAGAGUGUAGGGGCGGCAGGUAGCCUAGUGGUUAGAGUGUAGGGGCGGCAGGUAGCCUAGUGGUUAGAGUGUAGGGGCGGCAGGUAGCCUAGUGGUUAGAGUGUAGGGGCAGCAGGGAGCCUAGUGGUUAGAGUGUAGGGGC